This 202-nucleotide long non-coding RNA is filed under the name Lathyrus oleraceus (garden pea). RNAcentral's name for it is "Pisum sativum (pea) long non-coding RNA (PSAT_LNC017833)". Lineage: Eukaryota; Viridiplantae; Streptophyta; Magnoliopsida; Fabales; Fabaceae. The record is from RNAcentral.
UUUAAUCGGAAAAAUAAUUGUAUGUAAUUGUGUCUCAAUAUAAAUGAAGUGUUAUAUAUUCACCUUUUGUUUAUAUUUUGUAUUUAUGCAUUUUUGGUCUUCUCCAUAACAACAUUUGUGUUAUUGUCAAUGAAAAAGUAGGUUCAGUUUUAGUGUUCUGUUUUGAAAUUGAUUCAGGACAAGUUCCGGAGAUGCAUCUUCG